Molecule: long non-coding RNA, 340 nt
Organism: Anneissia japonica
Lineage: Eukaryota; Metazoa; Echinodermata; Crinoidea; Comatulida; Comatulidae
Exons: 3
Source: RefSeq, a predicted model, not a curated record
CGUCCCGCGUUCUUCAGAGUAGAGGAUGCCGUGUUGGAGGUAACACAGGGGCAGGAGAACUCUCAUUGUUUGGCCUAAAGACAAGUUUUCUAGUAACGGGAACUUGGAGACAAGCUGAGUGAGGCUUGGGAAUAUUUGAUGUGUGUAGCAGUCUUUGAUUAUAGACUGGAGUCGGAAAUCGCUACCUUUGUACAGAGUUGGAUUCAGGGGUUUCUUCUCUUUCUGUAUUCUGUUGAUACUGAUUGUCUGACUGAGAACCACAAUAAAAGGAGAACUUGCAACUCCACGUCUUUGUCGCUCAUUUCUUGUCGACACAACUAGUGAGGUGGACACCCAUCCC